This 948-nucleotide ribosomal RNA is filed under the name Curvularia hominis. Its description in RNAcentral is "eukaryotic LSU rRNA". It matches the Rfam family "Eukaryotic large subunit ribosomal RNA", at positions 24 to 981 of the family's 3401-position model. Lineage: Eukaryota; Fungi; Ascomycota; Dothideomycetes; Pleosporales; Pleosporaceae. The record is from RNAcentral.
UUACCCCGGCUGGAAACUAAGCAUAUCAAUAAGCGGAGGAAAAGAAACCAACAGGGAUUGCCCUAGUAACGGCGAGUGAAGCGGCAACAGCUCAAAUUUGAAAUCUGGCUCUUUCAGAGUCCGAGUUGUAAUUUGCAGAGGGCGCUUUGGCUUUGGCAGCGGUCCAAGUUCCUUGGAACAGGACGUCACAGAGGGUGAGAAUCCCGUACGUGGUCGCUAGCUAUUGCCGUGUAAAGCCCCUUCGACGAGUCGAGUUGUUUGGGAAUGCAGCUCUAAAUGGGAGGUAAAUUUCUUCUAAAGCUAAAUAUUGGCCAGAGACCGAUAGCGCACAAGUAGAGUGAUCGAAAGAUGAAAAGCACUUUGGAAAGAGAGUCAAACAGCACGUGAAAUUGUUGAAAGGGAAGCGCUUGCAGCCAGACUUGCUUGCAGUUGCUCAUCCGGGCUUUUGCCCGGUGCACUCUUCUGCAGGCAGGCCAGCAUCAGUUUGGGCGGUGGGAUAAAGGUCUCUGACACGUUCCUUCCUUCGGGUUGGCCAUAUAGGGGAGACGUCAUACCACCAGCCUGGACUGAGGUCCGCGCAUCUGCUAGGAUGCUGGCGUAAUGGCUGUAAGCGGCCCGUCUUGAAACACGGACCAAGGAGUCUAACAUCUAUGCGAGUGUUUGGGUGUCAAGCCCGAGCGCGUAAUGAAAGUGAACGGAGGUGGGAACCCGCAAGGGCGCACCAUCGACCGAUCCUGAAGUUUACGGAAGGAUUUGAGUAAGAGCAUGGCUGUUGGGACCCGAAAGAUGGUGAACUAUGCUUGAAUAGGGUGAAGCCAGAGGAAACUCUGGUGGAGGCUCGCAGCGGUUCUGACGUGCAAAUCGAUCGUCAAAUUUGGGCAUAGGGGCGAAAGACUAAUCGAACUAUCUAGUAGCUGGGUUCCUGCCGAAUUUCCCCCCUCAGGGAAA